This 72-nucleotide transfer RNA is filed under the name Araneus ventricosus. RNAcentral describes it as "tRNA-Pro". Lineage: Eukaryota; Metazoa; Arthropoda; Arachnida; Araneae; Araneidae. The record is from RNAcentral.
GGGCUCGGCCGGGAUUUGAACCCGGGACCUCUCGCACCCAAAGCGAGAAUCAUACAACUAGACCACCGAGCC